UACAGAGGUGGCGAACGUUGUUCGGAUUUACUGGGCGUAAAGGGUGCGUAGGUGGAUUGGUAUGUCGGAUGUGAAAUCUCGCUGCUCAACGGCGAAACUGCGUUCGAAACUGCCAGUCUGGAGUACAUGAGGGGAGAGCGGAAUUCUUGGUGUAGCGGUGAAAUGCGUUGAUAUCAAGAAGAACACCGGUGGCGAAGGCGGCUCUCUGGCAUGUUACUGACACUGAGGCACGAAAGUUAGGGGAGCGAAC
This 250-nucleotide ribosomal RNA is filed under the name uncultured bacterium. Its description in RNAcentral is "partial 16S ribosomal RNA". It matches the Rfam family "Bacterial small subunit ribosomal RNA", at positions 524 to 773 of the family's 1533-position model. The record is from RNAcentral.